This 352-nucleotide ribosomal RNA is filed under the name Kryptoperidinium foliaceum. RNAcentral's name for it is "partial Bacterial large subunit ribosomal RNA". It matches the Rfam family "Bacterial large subunit ribosomal RNA", at positions 1980 to 2331 of the family's 2925-position model. The record is from RNAcentral. Lineage: Eukaryota; Dinophyceae; Peridiniales; Kryptoperidiniaceae.
GUUCCGACCUGCACGAAUGGCGUAACGACUUCCCCGCUGUCUCCAACAUCGACUCAGCGAAAUUGAAUUGCCUGUCAAGAUGCAGGCUUCCCGCGGUUAGACGGAAAGACCCCGUGCACCUUUACUACAGCUUCGCACUGGCAUCAGGAUUGUGAUGUGCAGGAUAGGUGGUAGGCUUUGAAGCGGUGACGCCAGUCAUCGUGGAGCCUCCCUUGAGAUACCACCCUUCGCACUCUUGAUGUCUAACCGCGGUCCGUUAUCCGGAUCCGGGACCCUGCGUGGCGGGUAGUUUGACUGGGGCGGUCGCCUCCUAAAGCGUAACGGAGGCGCGCGAAGGUUGGCUCAGAGCGGU